This 497-nucleotide ribosomal RNA is filed under the name uncultured bacterium. RNAcentral's name for it is "partial 16S ribosomal RNA". It matches the Rfam family "Bacterial small subunit ribosomal RNA", at positions 28 to 507 of the family's 1533-position model. The record is from RNAcentral.
GAUGAACGCUGGCGGCGUGCCUAAUACAUGCAAGUCGAGCGAACAGACGAGGAGCUUGCUCCUCUGACGUUAGCGGCGGACGGGUGAGUAACACGUGGAUAACCUACCUAUAAGACUGGGAUAACUUCGGGAAACCGGAGCUAAUACCGGAUAAUAUAUUGAACCGCAUGGUUCAAUAGUGAAAGACGGUUUUGCUGUCACUUAUAGAUGGAUCCGCGCCGCAUUAGCUAGUUGGUAAGGUAACGGCUUACCAAGGCAACGAUGCGUAGCCGACCUGAGAGGGUGAUCGGCCACACUGGAACUGAGACACGGUCCAGACUCCUACGGGAGGCAGAAGUAGGGAAUCUUCCGCAAUGGGCGAAAGCCUGACGGAGCAACGCCGCGUGAGUGAUGAAGGUCUUCGGACCGUAAAACUCUGUUAUUAGGGAAGAACAAAUGUGUAAGUAACUAUGCACGUCUUGACGGUACCUAAUCAGAAAGCCACGGCUAACUACGUG